GCUUUACUGUUUCUGUUUU
RNAcentral lists this small RNA (19 nucleotides) under Arabidopsis thaliana (thale cress). Its description in RNAcentral is "ATSL236400". The record is from RNAcentral. Lineage: Eukaryota; Viridiplantae; Streptophyta; Magnoliopsida; Brassicales; Brassicaceae.